AGGGGUAUGGCUCAGUGGUGAAGCACAUGCUUGGCAUGCACAAGGUUCUGGGUCCAAUCCCUGGUACCUCCA
Transfer RNA from Camelus ferus (Wild Bactrian camel), 72 nucleotides. It matches the Rfam family "tRNA". From Rfam's summary of the family: Transfer RNA (tRNA) molecules are approximately 80 nucleotides in length. Their secondary structure includes four short double-helical elements and three loops (D, anti-codon, and T loops). Further hydrogen bonds mediate the characteristic L-shaped molecular structure. tRNAs have two regions of fundamental functional importance: the anti-codon, which is responsible for specific mRNA codon recognition, and the 3' end, to which the tRNAs corresponding amino acid is attached (by aminoacyl-tRNA synthetases). tRNAs cope with the degeneracy of the genetic code in two manners: having more than one tRNA (with a specific anti-codon) for a particular amino acid; and 'wobble' base-pairing, i.e. permitting non-standard base-pairing at the 3rd anti-codon position. The record is from Rfam. NCBI's taxonomy places the organism in Eukaryota, Metazoa, Chordata, Mammalia, Artiodactyla, Camelidae.